AUUGAACGCUGGCGGCAGGCCUAACACAUGCAAGUCGAGCGGAUGAAGGGAGCUUGCUCCUGGAUUCAGCGGCGGACGGGUGAGUAAUGCCUAGGAAUCUGCCUGGUAGUGGGGGAUAACGUCCGGAAACGGGCGCUAAUACCGCAUACGUCCUGAGGGAGAAAGUGGGGAUCUUCGGGACUCACGCUAUCAGGUUAGCCUAGGUCGGAUUAGCUAGUUGGUGGGGUAAAGGCCUACCAAGGCGACGAUCCGUAACUGGUCUGAGAGGAUGAUCAGUCACACUGGAACUGAGACACGGUCCAGACUCCUACGGGAGGCAGCAGUGGGGAAUAUUGGACAAUGGGCGAAAGCCUGAUCCAGCCAUGCCGCGUGUGUGAAGAAGGUCUUCGGAUUGUAAAGCACUUUAAGUUGGGAGGAAGGGCAGUAAGUUAAUACCUUGCUGUUUUGACGUUACCAACAGAAUAAGCACCGGCUAACUUCGUG
This 483-nucleotide ribosomal RNA is filed under the name uncultured bacterium. Its description in RNAcentral is "partial 16S ribosomal RNA". It matches the Rfam family "Bacterial small subunit ribosomal RNA", at positions 30 to 507 of the family's 1533-position model. The record is from RNAcentral.